This 755-nucleotide ribosomal RNA is filed under the name uncultured bacterium. Its description in RNAcentral is "bacterial SSU rRNA". It matches the Rfam family "Bacterial small subunit ribosomal RNA", at positions 102 to 857 of the family's 1533-position model. The record is from RNAcentral.
ACGGGUGAGUAACGCGUGGAUAACCUGCCGUAUACAGGGGGAUAACACUUAGAAAUAGGUGCUAAUACCGCAUAAGCGCACGGUUCCGCAUGGAACAGUGUGAAAAACUCCGGUGGUAUACGAUGGAUCCGCGUCUGAUAAGCCAGUUGGCGGGGUAACGGCCCACCAAAGCGACGAUCAGUAGCCGGCCUGAGAGGGUGAACGGCCACAUUGGGACUGAGACACGGCCCAAACUCCUACGGGAGGCAGCAGUGGGGAAUAUUGCACAAUGGGGGAAACCCUGAUGCAGCGACGCCGCGUGAGUGAAGAAGUAUUUCGGUACGUAAAGCUCUAUCAGCAGGGAAGAAAAAAAGUCCUUUGGACUUUGGACGGUACCUGACCAAGAAGCCCCGGCUAACUACGUGCCAGCAGCCGCGGUAAUACGUAGGGGGCAAGCGUUAUCCGGAUUUACUGGGUGUAAAGGGAGCGUAGACGGCAGCGCAAGUCUGGAGUGAAAUGCCGGGGCCCAACCCCGGAACUGCUUUGGAAACUGUGCAGCUCGAGUGCAGGAGAGGUAAGCGGAAUUCCUAGUGUAGCGGUGAAAUGCGUAGAUAUUAGGAGGAACACCAGUGGCGAAGGCGGCUUACUGGACUGUAACUGACGUUGAGGCUCGAAAGCGUGGGGAGCAAACAGGAUUAGAUACCCUGGUAGUCCACGCCGUAAACGAUGAUUACUAGGUGUCGGGGGGCCAAGGCCCUUCGGUGCCGCCGCAAACG